UAGGAUAGUGUGUCUAGUCCUGACUCAUCUUUUGACGAGACUCUGAUUUCCUGGCUAUCAUGGCCUACAGGAACUUCGGUCUCUGCUCAGUCCAUAGUAAGUGGCGGCCAUUUCCUCCCAUCUACAGCUUGGCCUCGGGGUCUGGGAGAGCCAAUGGGCCGUCACCACAGGAUAUGUGUAAUCAGCUGAUAGGGGAACCAUCAGAAGGUCUGGGCAUGGAGGAUAGAUGCCACAUCUGUCCCUGGCACCCUCAAACCCAAACAAAUGUCACUGGAAAUGAACACUGAUGACAGUCGUUGAGUUGGAUCAUGCGAAGGGAAAAUGAAAGUUUUACAGCAGCUCGUGUAGCAGUUCAAGAUUCGUCAUUCCAAGACAAGCAUCUCUGCAGAGAACCGUGAGAGUUUUGUCGUAUUUUGUGCACCUUGCAGCUUUGACAGCUGCUCGCCCAGAGGGAGGGAAAGACCUGCUUUCAUCCAUGGAUGUUCACCUGACCCUUUUUGAUCCUCUAAAAUGACUGUCUGCUGAGCCAUCAGAGCCAUCAAACAAUCUGGCUUCCUGGAGGGGUUGCGAGACAAGAACAUUAAAAAGGCUGAAACAGGAUGGUUUAGCGUUCAGGGGGUUUGUAGCUGUAAUUGGUAGGUAGAGUUUAGCAGCCUCAACUAGAUGAUGGAGGAAGGUUUGUAAUUUGGCCCAGUACAACCCUCCCCUCAACUCAUUACAAAGCUUUUAUGGGGAAAAUGAGAGAUGGGCCAGAAAAUGCACAUGCAGAUGAUGAUAUUUUUGGUCCAGAUGCAUAUUGUGUUUUUGUAGUUUAUUAGGUGGGGCUAGUACAAAUAAAAAUGAAGAUUCUGUC
This is a long non-coding RNA of Rhinichthys klamathensis goyatoka, 853 nucleotides long. RefSeq lists it as uncharacterized. Lineage: Eukaryota; Metazoa; Chordata; Actinopteri; Cypriniformes; Leuciscidae. The record is from RefSeq and is a predicted model, not a curated record. The transcript has 3 exons.